CCUACGGGAGGCAGCAGUAGGGAAUAUUGCUCAAUGGGGGAAACCCUGAUGCAGCAACGCCGCGUGGAGGAUGAAGGUUUUCGGAUUGUAAACUCCUAUUAUUAGAGAAGAAAAUGACGGUAUCUGACGAAUAAGCACCGGCUAACUACGUGCCAGCAGCCGCGGUAAUACGGAGGGUGCAAGCGUUAUCCGGAAUUACUGGGCGUAAAGAGCGCGUAGGCGGGAGAGCAAGUCUGAAGUGAAAGGCUAUGGCUUAACCAUCGGACUGCAUUUGAAACUGUACUGCUAGAGUGUAGGAGAGGUAGGUGGAAUUCUUGGUGUAGGGGUAAAAUGCGUAGAGAUCAAGAGGAACACUCAUGGCGAAGGCGGCUUGCUGGAACAUAACUGACGCUGAUGCGCGAAAGCGUGGGGAGCAAACAGGAUUAGAUACCUGAGUAGUC
This 440-nucleotide ribosomal RNA is filed under the name uncultured bacterium. RNAcentral describes it as "partial 16S ribosomal RNA". It matches the Rfam family "Bacterial small subunit ribosomal RNA", at positions 338 to 795 of the family's 1533-position model. The record is from RNAcentral.